UGCGAUUAUGAUGUGAUAGUCAUUCUCAUCAUUGUUACCUAAGACAUUAGCCCCGGCAACCACAGAGAGAUAUUUUCCAGCUGGUUUUGAGGAAGUGAGCUGCCAUGUACUAGGCCACGUGGCAAGGGCCUGGUUGGGGACCUCCAGGGGUUGAGAGCAUCCUCUGGACAACAUGGAAAAAGAAAAUGAAAAUGGUGACCUCAGCCCUAUAGCUAGAAGGAAUUGAAUCCUGUCAACAACGAUCAACAGGCUAUUGGGUUUGGAGUGAAUUCUCAGAAACAUCACUACUGACAUAACUCCAUAAAGAAUUCAUAAUUUCUACUCACAUGUUUUACCCACAUCAAUAACAGAAUCUCAGGAAAACCAAAGUGGAGUUUACAAUGUUCAUUUUGACACUGUGCAUUAGACUUCUCGACUUCAAGCUACAAAAACCAGCACAGAACCUGGAAAAAUUUUACCUCCUGGCAUUUUUGUUUCUCUACCCUGAUGCUUGUUGUUGAGUUUUACCCAUGCUUUGACCAUCAGCAAAUUGAAGACUCAUCACUCACUGCAGAUGUUACUUUAAGACAUUCUGGAGCAGCGUCAUGUGCAGUCAUGUGAAAGUAUAUUCCAAACCCAGAACCUGAGCACAGAUUGGGACUGAGAAACACUUGUCUAGAUUGUCAGGCAAUCUGUAACAUCAGCAGUGGAUGGAAAGAAGGAGAAAGAUGAGUUUUAUGGACGCUAACCCAUCUAUAUGGCUUUGGAAAAUAAAGUACUGCUGUUUUUUUUUGUAAAGGAUUUUUAUUUUUUAUCUUUACAUACAUCUCCCAUUAAAAGGUUAAGACAUUAG
RNAcentral lists this long non-coding RNA (832 nucleotides) under Homo sapiens (human). Its description in RNAcentral is "HSALNT0325506". Lineage: Eukaryota; Metazoa; Chordata; Mammalia; Primates; Hominidae. The record is from RNAcentral.